CCGGAUCCACUGCCCAAAUGUGUUGUCUUGAUUUUUAUUCUGCCCUUGCAUCAUACCAAUGUCUCUCUCUCUCUACCAACCAUCGCUCUCACAAACCCUAUCUUCUCGCAUAUGUGAUUCAGUGUUCUCUAACCCUAACCCUCACCAUCGCCGGAAGAUACCAACGAUUUGAUCCGUAAUACGUUGCAACUUUGAUGAUACCCUAAUGGAAUUGAGUGCCUUGAUAACGACUAUGGUUUGAUUUUUCUUCUGGCAGUUCAGUAAUUCAUUUGCUUUCAAAAUUCAAGAUAAGGGGGGUCGUAUGCACAGAUUUAUUAGUGAUUCUCAUAGUUUGGCAGAUCAUACAAUGGCCAUAAUUCAGAGACUAGGGGUGAGAUCCACCGCUACCACCUCCCACAAAUUCUGGUCUUUAGGACUGUGCAGAACUUGGUUCAAACCGACCCAACCAGUGACCCGAACCAAGACCGGAAAGCAACUUCCACUUGAUGCUUAUCGGUUUUUCAUGGAGAAGAUGAUAAAUUUGAUAUGUAUCAUGUUAACAAGAACAAUGUUAAUCGUGUUAUGCUUUUGGAGAGUGUCAUGUUGCAGUUUAAAAUCUGAUUUAUGCAUUAAAAAUAGGCAUCAGUACGAAGACGAAGACUAGGACGAAGUCGUAAUUUCAUCAGACAAUGAUCUUACUGCAAGUGAAGAUGCUGGGGUCUGCAUAUAUUUUCAGCAUUUUACGAAGCAACUAGCAAGCAUCACAUUUUUAACGGGUCAGAUAGACACUAGCAAUGGGUUCUACUCCGAUGCUGGUCUUUAUGUUCAUCUUCGAAUCGGUCCUUACGUUUGUGCCGAGUGGAAUUACGGUGGAUUUCCGCUCUGGUUACAUUUCAUACCAGGAAUCGAGCUUCGAACUGAUAACGAGCCGUUUAAGAU
Molecule: long non-coding RNA, 918 nt
Organism: Helianthus annuus (common sunflower)
Lineage: Eukaryota; Viridiplantae; Streptophyta; Magnoliopsida; Asterales; Asteraceae
Exons: 7
Source: RefSeq, a predicted model, not a curated record